RNA transcript from Sycon ciliatum, 2874 nucleotides. RefSeq lists it as uncharacterized. NCBI's taxonomy places the organism in Eukaryota, Metazoa, Porifera, Calcarea, Leucosolenida, Sycettidae. The record is from RefSeq and is a predicted model, not a curated record. The transcript is spliced from 4 exons.
CAUUGAUGAAGCCAUUAGCAUCAUUAUGUCCUCCCCGUCUCCUGUCUAUCUCUCUAAACUCGAUGUGAAGAGCGCUUUUCGUCAAAUACCUGUCCGCCCACAGGAUUGGCAUCUCCUAGGCAUCCUGUGGCAGGGUAAGUACUACUACGACCGUGUCUUGCCAUUUGGGCUUCGCUCUAGCCCAGCGGUAUUUGAUGCAGUGGCAGCCACCAUCGAAUGGAUAAUGCACCACGAAUUCUCCAUCCCUAAAUUGCUGCAUUUCCUGGACGACUACUUGUGCGUGAGCGUGGGCCAGGCAGUGGCGAAUCGGCAGCUGGCCAUUCUUCUCCGUGCAUUCUCAUACCUCGGAGUCCCGCUCGCGCCUGCGAAGGUGGAAGGCCCGUCUCGUACCCUGACAUUCCUGGGCAUUAUCCUGGAUUGUGAGAAGAUGGAAGCCCGGCUCCCUGACGACAAAUUGGCUGACAUCAAGCGCCUGUUGACUGCAGCGAGCAUCAACCCUACCAUGUCUCCCUCGAACUCGAAUCUCUUCUGGGGAAACUCUCCUUCGCUGCAAGAGUCAUCGUACCCGGUCGGACAUUUAUGCGGCGCCUGUGGUCUAUUUGCAGUCGCUACCAGCAGCCUCACUACCGCAUCAGUCUGACUACCGAGUGCCAGGAAGAUAUCCAAUGGUGGCUACGGCUCCUGGAAGAAUGGAACGGAAAAUCAUUCUUCCUGUUCCCAGAUUGGACACCAUCUCCAGACUUGGAGCUGUUCACUGAUGCCAGUGGCACCCUGGGCUGGGGCGCAUUCAACAGCGGCCGCUGGCUUCAAGGGACCUGGUCGUCUGAGCAACUCGCUCACAGCAUUGAGUGGAAGGAGCUCUACGCGUUGGUCACAGCGUGCUGCACGUGGGGCAAGGAAUGGCGCCAGCUUCGUAUCACAAUGCACUGUGACAACAAGGCUGUGGUAGAUUGCAUCCGCUCCGGCACAUCCAAGUCACCGCCAGUGAUGACCCUGAUCAGGGAGCUGUUCUUUGUGUGCGCCCGCUUCAAUUUCACCGUCGCUGCUGCUCACAUUGCUGGCCAGUCUAACUGCAUUGCCGAUUCGCUGUCUCGUUUCCGCAUGGAGGAAUUUCGGCGUCUCGCCCCAGCUGCUCAAGCACAACCAGACCAAGCAGUGCUGCCAUUCCAGUCGAUGCAAUAUAGCCUUGACAUACAGACUUGGUGUACGGUUGGCUCAUCUCAUAGUCUAACUGACAUACUUCGAUCAGUGCUUUCAAAGAGAACAUCUCCUCUCGCAGAUAGAGUCCUUCUAGACCAGAGACUUGACGUUCGGUUGGCUCAUCUCAUAGUCUAGCUGACAUAAUCAGUGCUUUGAGAGAGAACAUCUCCUCUCGCAGAUAGAGUCCUCCUAAACCUGAGCUUGCCUGUGCAAAUCGUCUCGUCUACCAUUCCAAGUGAUGAACAUGGCUUCAUUGCGUAUUUUGCACCGUCUUUGCAAGUCACAAUUACACUUACCGUGGUGUGACAGAAUACUACGGUUGUACACAUCCAGUUGCAGCUCAAGCCAGAAAGCAGCCAGCAUUCUGCUGGCGUACGUGAGCAACGGUUGCUGUUGGAAUUGUCCAUUGCAGAGAACAGCUUUACUGACCUGCCAUAUAUCACGUGAUCCAGUCCAUGCAGCCGGUAGACCUGUAUUGAUGGAUGCAGCAGCUGUCCUGCAUUGUGACUAUAGACCUUUGAGGGUUUCAGGGAUAUGGAUUCUGCUCGUGCAAUAUUGCCUGUGAUCAUGGUGAUGGCCGCCUAGUAGCUAGCCCAGCAGAUUUAUCAGAACCAGCAGAUACAGCAGCUGAGCCAGCCAUAGCUAUCACUGCAACAGACUCGGCAGGAAGAGCAGUUGCCAUUGCAGCUAACACUGCAGCAGACACAGCGGCAAGAGCAGAUGCCAUGGCAGCAACCACUGCAACAGAUGCCAUGGCAGCAACAACAGUGGCCAUGGUAGCAGCAAACACCGCAUCUGCUGCACCAGGCAGUGACUGUAUUCGUUUGAAAACUAGUGGGCAGACUGCUCACAGCAGCAAUGCCAAAGAUGAGUCAGAGCGGCUCAGUCUUCAGCAGCAGUAAGCAGCAGUAAGCAGCAGUAAACAGGAUGCAGUGCACUUCGCAAAGUGAGCACCUUAGCAAGAAAGAUGUUGUUUUUCUUCCUUUUUUCCACACACCGAGCAGCAGUGGGAGUGUUGCAUCACUGUUUGCACAUGCCAAUGGACAGGUUCGAAGUAUGUGAGCCUAUGGUAUCCAUCAAAUCACUGAAAACGUUUUGACAUCUCUGCCUUUCUGUCAUACUUUGGCGAAAGCUUAAUUUUAGUUUCGACUCUCAGACCCAGAUUCCGUCUGUUGGAGUGCGCAUCCAAGACGGGCUAUAGCUGAUAGCCAGUUAUUUGUACUUCGAAGUAGAACGUCAGUACCGUCGUUCAAUGUUAUCGCAUGAGCUGAGUGUCAGGUAACUGAUGGUAGUGCACAUUAUAACGUAACGCGUAGUUCCUUGGUCCUUUUCUUACUUUAAUUUAUUUCCAUAUUAUUGGACUCAAGAGUGCUAUGUUGCAGCUAGCCCAUCAUGACAGCGCUGACUUUUUGGGUCCAGUUUUCAUAUAGAUUCAUACACAUUUGGGUGUUUUUUCCUUCACAGCAUUUUGACACUUCGUUCGACCUGUGGACUACGGCGAAUUAUGAUUGCGAAAUUGUGGAAUUAUGCUUCCAUGGAUGCUCGCACAAUGCUCGCAAACUCUUUAUAAUAUAAACGAUUUUGCGAGCGUUAUUUUUUAUGCUUUGUAACUGAUCCUUUAGAAAGCUUUGGGAUGCGGGGAUAUUUUAUUCAGUGUGUUGUAAUUGUACGUAU